CCUACGGGUGGCAGCAGUGGGGAAUAUUGCACAAUGGGGGAAACCCUGAUGCAGCGACGCCGCGUGAAGGAAGAAGUAUUUCGGUAUGUAAACUUCUAUCAGCAGGGAAGAAAAUGACGGUACCUGACUAAGAAGCCCCGGCUAACUACGUGCCAGCAGCCGCGGUAAUACGUAGGGGGCAAGCGUUAUCCGGAUUUACUGGGUGUAAAGGGAGCGUAGGCGGUUUAGCAAGUCAGAAGUGAAAGCCCGGGGCUCAACUCCGGGACUGCUUUUGAAACUGUUGAACUAGAGUGCAGGAGAGGUAAGUGGAAUUCCUAGUGUAGCGGUGAAAUGCGUAGAUAUUAGGAGGAACACCAGUGGCGAAGGCGGCUUACUGGACUGUAAAUGACGCUGAGGCUCGAAAGCGUGGGGAGCAAACAGGAUUAGAUACCCCGGUAGUC
This 440-nucleotide ribosomal RNA is filed under the name uncultured bacterium. RNAcentral describes it as "partial 16S ribosomal RNA". It matches the Rfam family "Bacterial small subunit ribosomal RNA", at positions 338 to 795 of the family's 1533-position model. The record is from RNAcentral.